GAAAAGUCGUGGCCAGCGGGGGGGGGAAGUGGUAGGGGGCAAGCGUGGUCCGGGAGUGUGGGGCGGAAAGAGACGGUAGGCGGUCGAGCGCGGUGGCUUUGAAAACUCGGGGCUCAAACCCGAGCCUGCAGUCGAGACGGGCAGAGUAGAGUGCGGUAGGGGAGACUGGAAUUCCGGGUGUAGCGGGGAAAUGCGCAGAUAUCAGGAGGAACACCGGUGGCGAAGGCGGGUCUCUGGGCCGUAACUGACGCUGAGGAGCGAAAGCGUGGGGAGCAAACAGGAUUAGAUACCCUGGUAGUC
RNAcentral lists this ribosomal RNA (300 nucleotides) under uncultured Bacillus sp. RNAcentral describes it as "bacterial SSU rRNA". The stretch from base 61 to 300 matches the Rfam family "Bacterial small subunit ribosomal RNA", at positions 556 to 795 of the family's 1533-position model. Lineage: Bacteria; Bacillati; Bacillota; Bacilli; Caryophanales; Bacillaceae. The record is from RNAcentral.